UUGCUGCUAUUUUCUGUGCGUUUCUGCAGGUACGGAUGUGCGCGGAUGUGCGUACGGCGUGUUCCCUAGUGGUGGCAUGGCUCGGCUCGGCGCUACACACGGGCGGGCGCAACACGCGAGAGGGGGGAAGCCUGGCUCUGUUGUGGCGCUGGAAGCUUACCCUAGCUGCUAGGGUUUUCCGGUGUUGGGCCAUUUGGGCGAGCUGGUUUUGGG
RNAcentral lists this long non-coding RNA (213 nucleotides) under Gossypium barbadense (sea-island cotton). RNAcentral describes it as "long non-coding RNA (GBAR_LNC014621)". Lineage: Eukaryota; Viridiplantae; Streptophyta; Magnoliopsida; Malvales; Malvaceae. The record is from RNAcentral.